AGCAGCCGCGGUAAUUCCAGCUCCAAUAGCGUAUAUUAAAGUUGUUGCAGUUAAAAAGCUCGUAGUUGAAUUUCGAGACCGGUUUAUUGGUCGUGCUUUUGUACGUACUGGUAUUAUUGGUUUCUCCUUUCUGACGAAUCUUAAUGCCAUUAAUUUGGUGUUUUGGGGAAUCAGGACUGUUACUUUGAAAAAAUUAGAGUGUUUAAAGCAGGCUCACGCUUGAAUACAUUAGCAUGGAAUAACGGAAUAGGACGUUUGAUUCUAUUUUGUUGGUUUCUAGGAUCGACGUAAUGAUUAAUAGGGAUAGUUGGGGGCAUUAGUAUUCAAUUGUCAGAGGUGAAAUUCUUGGAUUUAUUGAAGACUAACUACUGCGAAAGCAUUUGCCAAGGAUGUUUUCAUUAAUCAAGAACGAAAGUUAGGGGAUCGAAGACGAUCAGAUACCGUCGUAGUCUUAACCAUAAACUAUGCCGACUAGGGAUCGGAUGAUGUUAAUUUUUAAU
Molecule: ribosomal RNA, 500 nt
Filed under: uncultured Glomus
Lineage: Eukaryota; Fungi; Glomeromycota; Glomeromycetes; Glomerales; Glomeraceae
Description: SSU rRNA
Rfam family: Eukaryotic small subunit ribosomal RNA
Source: RNAcentral